AGUGAACGCUGGCGGUAGGCCUAACACAUGCAAGUCGAACGGCAGCACAGUAAGAGCUUGCUCUUACGGGUGGCGAGUGGCGGACGGGUGAGGAAUACAUCGGAAUCUACUUUUUCGUGGGGGAUAACGUAGGGAAACUUACGCUAAUACCGCAUACGACCUACGGGUGAAAGCAUGGGAUCUUCGGACCUUGCGCGAUAGAAUGAGCCGAUGUCGGAUUAGCUAGUUGGCGGGGUAAAGGCCCACCAAGGCGACGAUCCGUAGCUGGUCUGAGAGGAUGCUCAGCCACACUGGAACUGAGACACGGUCCAGACUCCUACGGGAGGCAGCAGUGGGGAAUAUUGGACAAUGGGCGCAAGCCUGAUCCAGCCAUACCGCGUGGGUGAAGAAGGCCUUCGGGUUGUAAAGCCCUUUUGUUGGGAAAGAAAAGCAGCAGGUUAAUACCCCGCUGUUCUGACGGUACCCAAAGAAUAAGCACCGGCUAACUUCGUG
This 492-nucleotide ribosomal RNA is filed under the name uncultured bacterium. RNAcentral's name for it is "partial 16S ribosomal RNA". It matches the Rfam family "Bacterial small subunit ribosomal RNA", at positions 29 to 507 of the family's 1533-position model. The record is from RNAcentral.